UAAGUUCAACGGGGGAGCUAAGAGCUGAGAGGAUCCAUCAGGGAUCGACCCCUAGAACCUGAUUCGGAUAAUGCCGACGAAGGGAGCACAGAAUGAGUACUU
This is a non-coding RNA of Acidobacteria bacterium 13_1_40CM_56_16, 102 nucleotides long. The record is from Rfam. Lineage: Bacteria; Pseudomonadati; Acidobacteriota.